UGUUUAACGGCCGCGGUAUUCUGACCGUGCAAAGGUAGCGCAAUCAAUUGUCUUUUAAAUGAAGACCUGUAUGAAUGGCAUAACGAGGGCUAAACUGUCUCCUCCUUCCAGUCAAUGAAAUUGAUCUUCCCGUGCAGAAGCGGGAAUAAUAACAUAAGACGAGAAGACCCUAUGGAGCUUAAAACGCAAGAAUAGAUCACAUCACUUACCCUGGGUUAACAGGACAAGACAACUGAGUACUAUUCUAGUGUUUUUGGUUGGGGCGACCGCGGGGUAAAAUAAAACCCCCACGUAGAACGAAAAUACAUUUUUUUAAUUUAAGGGAAACAACCCUAAAAAACAGAAUCUCUGACUUUUUGAUCCGGUUUUACCGAUCAACGAACCGAGUUACCCUAGGGAUAACAGCGCAAUCCUCUUUUAGAGCCCAUAUCGACAAGGGGGUUUACGACCUCGAUGUUGGACCAGGACAUCCUAAUGGUGCAGCCGCUAUUAAGGGUUCGUUUGUUCAACGAUUAAAGUCCU
RNAcentral lists this ribosomal RNA (522 nucleotides) under Nimbapanchax leucopterygius. RNAcentral's name for it is "partial 16S ribosomal RNA". It matches the Rfam family "Bacterial large subunit ribosomal RNA", at positions 1921 to 2597 of the family's 2925-position model. Lineage: Eukaryota; Metazoa; Chordata; Actinopteri; Cyprinodontiformes; Nothobranchiidae. The record is from RNAcentral.